CAGGGAGUCAGCUAGCAGGAGCUGUUGAAUCCUGUUAUGGAUUCAGUUAUAAUUCAGCCCUCAUUCAAGGUUGUGAGAAAUUCAAUAGAAGCUCUAGAACAUUACAGCACAAGCAUUGGAUGCCAAUAUGUUAAAGUUAUCUGGUACUGCCUAACCAGUGGGAUGUCUCCAACGUUUUCUGUUUGUAUUUCAGAUACCCUGCAACUGCAGCUUUUUGAUUUUUAUUAUUUUUCAUUUUUCUCUUGUAAAAUAAAACAAUGUAAAAUGUAAAGCAAUCUCCCCUGGGAUUAAAUAAGUGAAUUUUAAUUCUUUAAGGAAAUAGGAGGAACCUGACUAUAAACGAAGACAAAAUGGUGACUGCAUCUAGACUAGAGGAUCGUAGGAUGCAAAACCCCUCCCAAAUUGCUGGUCAGAUCUCAUGUACAAGAAAGUCUCAGGAGUCCUGCCUCGGCUCAGGCAAAGCCCAAUAUCUAUCAGGGGUGGAGGGAGUGCAGGUAUAGGAAGCCAGUGGGGAGCAAGAGGGUAAUGUCCCCACCAGUCAAUAAUAGCAAAGGCUGGUGUGAUUGAGGGUAGGUAAAGUGGUUGGCUUACUGUGGUCUGUCAGGUGGUUAUGAAAUAAAACAAGAAAUAAUACACUGGAAAUUCAUCCUCAUUUGAAAACCCAUGCCAGAGUGUAUUAAGGUGACAAUGGCUACCUUAGCACCUUACAGUUACACCUAAAGCAAGAAACAUUGAGUAGUAAGUCCUCCAGAUAUAAGAUGAAAUAUGAGCAAGUAGGUAGAUGAAGGAUGGGUAUGUUCAUCUGAUUAUAUUUCCCUCACUGUGCAUUAUGAUUGUACUCGUUGUCUCCCCAGUGGUAUAACUACUUCAGAAGGUCAUUGUGUGGAUUUUUAGAAUAUCAAAAUCAAUCUUGACACAGUUGACUAGGAGAGCAUUAUUUGAGCUUCCUUUGUAAGUAAUUAGUAAUUGUCUGUAAUUUCAGGAUAUUGGUAAAUAAGUUGUUGUGAUCUUGCUACAUUUAGUUCUAAUAUAUUUAAUAAAACUAUUUAAAUCCCAGGGCAAAGGAGGGGGUGGAAUUCUAUCAAAUCUAUUCCAGAUUUUUGUUUUUCUGGUGUUAUUGAAUUAUAAAAUCAUUCCCCUCCUUCUGCAUUCAUUGAUCAAUGCCGUGAAUGGUUCUUUGUCCAAGCAACAUUCCAACUGAUCAAACCCAAGGGCACAUGUUUUAUUUUAGUUAUAAGCAAAGAAGCUGCAAAAACUUGUGUAAAAAUAUUAGUAAUCACUUUACCCCUCUCUAAACAUUUCUCCCCACAAACUGCACCAUUGAAUGUUCACUGUUACAUUUCACUAUAAUGAAAUAUAAAGGAGAUCAAAAUCAAAGUACAACAACACUGCACUGUGUCCAUAGGCUUUCAAGCGUCUACCAUUGUUAUGCUGUUAGCAGUAGCAUCACUACUCCUUUACAGGGGCUUAUGUUCCAAUCAGCAAAGUGCAUUUCAUUUCACAAUAUUUAGAAUUUAAAUGCUUUAAGUUUAUGCCUCUUCAAAGAUAUUGAGACUGAAAAAUGUGGAUGGACUCAUUGUAAGCUGCUAUCCAUCAUGAGUAAAGAAAUCCCCACAUCUACCCAGAGCACUGUCGCAGAACAGCAGCAUCAAUCAUCAGGGACCCACAACAACUAGGCCAUGCUCCCUUCUUGCUACUGACAUCAGGAAGAAUGCCCAGGAGCCUUAGUAUCCUACCACCCAGUUCAAGAACAGUUAUUACCCCUCAGCCAUUAGGCUCUUGAAUCAGUGGGGAUAACUUCACUCAACUUCAUUCACUGCAUCUCUGAACUAUGGAGCAAACACGAGGAAAUCUGCAGAUGCUGGAAAAUCAAACAACACACACAAAAUGCUGGUGGAGCACAGCAGGCAUAUGCAGAUGCUGCCUGGCCUGCUGUGUCCCACCAGCAUUUUGUGUGUGUUGUCUGAACUAUGGACUUGCUUUCAAAGACUCUUCAUCUCAUGUUCUUGAUAUUUAUUGCUUACUUAUUUUAUUAUUAUUACUAUUGUUAUUUUUCUCUUGCAUUGCACAGGUUGCUGUUUUCUUUUGCACAUUGUUUGUUUGUCCAUCCUGUUGGGUGUGGUCUUCCAUUGAUUUUAUUGUGUUUACUGAGUAUGCCUGCAAGAAAAUGAAUCUUAGGGUUGUAUAUAGUGACAUAUAUGUUCUUAGGUAACAAAUUUACUUUGAACUUUGAAUUUUGAUCCUGCGGAGAAGGCUGUUAGUUCAUGUCAAAAAUAUUUGUCUUCAAUUUUGCUUACGAGUAAUGUCCACCAGUUAUUCACCUGCUUACUUCUGUGAAGUAAAAGAAAAAUAUCAAUACCUGACUUCUGAUGGUCUCUCAUUUCUAUUUAUGUAACUACACUUUGUGACAAGGAAAGCUCAGAUUUAAAGAGGGGAAAUUUGUGUGUUGGGUGUUCAUUUUAAUUACAUUUUUGCGCACUUAGGGUUAUGUCCCAGCAUUAAGUAUUCUGUGCGCAUUCACAAUAUCUAUAUUUUUAAU
Hypanus sabinus (Atlantic stingray) is the source of this 2539-nucleotide long non-coding RNA. RefSeq lists it as uncharacterized. NCBI's taxonomy places the organism in Eukaryota, Metazoa, Chordata, Chondrichthyes, Myliobatiformes, Dasyatidae. The record is from RefSeq and is a predicted model, not a curated record. The transcript is spliced from 3 exons.